Molecule: ribosomal RNA, 250 nt
Filed under: uncultured bacterium
Lineage: Bacteria
Description: partial 16S ribosomal RNA
Rfam family: Bacterial small subunit ribosomal RNA
Source: RNAcentral
AACAUAGGGGGCAAGCGUUGUCCGGAAUCACUGGGCGUAAAGGGCGCGCAGGCGGUCUGUUAAGUCAGAUGUGAAAGGUUAGGGCUCAACCCUGAACGUGCAUCUGAUACUGGCAGACUUGAGUAUGGAAGAGGUAAGUGGAAUUCCUAGUGUAGCGGUGAAAUGCGUAGAUAUUAGGAGGAACACCAGUGGCGAAGGCGACUUACUGGGCCAUAACUGACGCUGAGGCGCGAAAGCGUGGGGAGCAAAC